Molecule: ribosomal RNA, 253 nt
Filed under: uncultured bacterium
Lineage: Bacteria
Description: partial 16S ribosomal RNA
Rfam family: Bacterial small subunit ribosomal RNA
Source: RNAcentral
UACGUAGGGUGCAAGCGUUGUCCGGAAUUAUUGGGCGUAAAGAGCCCGUAGGCGGUUUGUCGCGUCUGCUGUGAAAACUCGGGGCUUAACCCCGGGCCUGCAGUGGGUACGGGCGGACUAGAGUGCGGUAGGGGAGACUGGAAUUCCUGGUGUAGCGGUGAAAUGCGCAGAUAUCAGGAGGAACACCGGUGGCGAAGGCGGGUCUCUGGGCCGUAACUGACGCUGAGGAGCGAAAGCGUGGGGAGCGAACAGG